AAUAAGUACAAUUUUACACUAAUUACAUUUAACAUUUGACCAUUCGUCUUAUUUGAAUUUUUUUAUGAUUAGUAUUUUUAUUGCUAAAUAUUUUCAAAUUUUUCACAAAUUUUUUAAAUAAGACGGACGGUUAAAUAUUGGACACGGAUAUCUACGGCUGUACUUAUU
This 168-nucleotide microRNA precursor is filed under the name Oryza nivara. Its description in RNAcentral is "MIR812 microRNA precursor family". It matches the Rfam family "MIR812 microRNA precursor family". Lineage: Eukaryota; Viridiplantae; Streptophyta; Magnoliopsida; Poales; Poaceae. The record is from Rfam by way of RNAcentral.